Molecule: ribosomal RNA, 253 nt
Filed under: uncultured bacterium
Lineage: Bacteria
Description: partial 16S ribosomal RNA
Rfam family: Bacterial small subunit ribosomal RNA
Source: RNAcentral
UACAGAGGGGGCAAGCGUUGCUCGGAAUUACUGGGCGUAAAGGGCGCGUAGGCGGCCUUCUAAGUCGAACGUGAAAUCCCUGGGCUCAACCCAGGAACUGCGUCCGAUACUGGAAGGCUUGAAUCCGGGAGAGGGAUGCGGAAUUCCAGGUGUAGCGGUGAAAUGCGUAGAUAUCUGGAGGAACACCGGUGGCGAAGGCGGCAUCCUGGACCGGUAUUGACGCUGAGGCGCGAAAGCCAGGGGAGCAAACGGG